Molecule: long non-coding RNA, 317 nt
Organism: Solea senegalensis (Senegalese sole)
Lineage: Eukaryota; Metazoa; Chordata; Actinopteri; Pleuronectiformes; Soleidae
Exons: 3
Source: RefSeq, a predicted model, not a curated record
GUGUGGGUCACAGACACCUGCAGCCAGCAGCUAUAGAUUAUCGGGCGUUUCCUCCAAACAUUAAGCUGCAGCAUGUCAACAAAGGAGUGGCUUAUGUCAGUGACCUUCAUCACAGCGGAACAGUGAUGACUGAAUGUUUCAGCACUUCCUGUAUGACAUCAUCCAGACCAGGACCUAUUUCCAUACGUCGUUGAUAAGUGCCAGGGUUUGACAGAGCCUUUGAGGCCGUUUCUCAAUACUCAAUCAGCUCUUAUCACACAUCAGCAUCAGCUGCAUCACAGGCGUGUUCUGACAGAAGCUGCUGCACAACAGUGAAG